GACGAACGCUGGCGGCAUGCCUAACACAUGCAAGUCGAACGGAACUUGUUGAAUGAAGUUUUCGGAUGGAUUUUAGCAAGUUUAGUGGCGGACUGGUGAGUAACACGUAAGCAAUCUACCUAUUAGAGGGGAAUAACAAUGAGAAAUCAUUGCUAAUACCGCAUAAGCUUGUAGUACCGCAUGGUACAGCAAGAAAAGGAGCAAUCCGCUAAUAGAUGAGCUUGCGGCUGAUUAGCUAGUUGGUAAGGUAACGGCUUACCAAGGCAACGAUCAGUAGCCGAGCUGAGAGGCUCUUCGGCCACAUUGGGACUGAGAUACGGCCCAGACUCCUACGGGAGGCAGCAGUCGGGAAUAUUGCGCAAUGGAGGAAACUCUGACGCAGUGACGCCGCGUGAGUGAAGAAGUAUUUCGGUAUGUAAAGCUCUAUCAGCAGGGAAGAAAAUGACGGUACCUGACUAAGAAGCCCCGGCUAACUACGUGCCAG
RNAcentral lists this ribosomal RNA (484 nucleotides) under uncultured bacterium. RNAcentral describes it as "bacterial SSU rRNA". It matches the Rfam family "Bacterial small subunit ribosomal RNA", at positions 28 to 511 of the family's 1533-position model. The record is from RNAcentral.